GGGUUACCUAGAAGACACUGCUUGCAAAAUUAACACUCAAGAAAAAUGAUCCCAAAGCAGCAUUUCCCAAACAAAAGUGAUGAAUGGUAGAUCUCUUCUUGGGAACUUGAUACCUGAUGGGGCAAAUUGACCCUGCAAUUGGCACCGAAGAUCAGGAAUUAAAAAUCAAAUUAGAGACACAGUUUUACCAUGCUGGCCAGGCUGGUUUUGAGCUCCUGACUUCAAGUGAUCCAGCCAUCUCGGCCUCCCAAAAUGCUGGGAUUACAGGCAUGAGCCACCGCGCCCAACCUGAAGUAGCUGUCUUUUACAUGUUUGCAAUCCCCUCCAGGAAUAAACCCCAAGCCUUCCUAUUGGAAAACCACAAUUCGCUCAGUCCUUGCCAUUCAGAAGAAAGAGAUGCCAUUUCUAGCUCUAGGUGGAGACAUGCCAAACUCCCAGCCAAUGAGGAGCCUCAUCUCUUGGACCAUAAUGAUUGGUUCAGUGACGGGCCGAGAUCUCAGUGUGGCUGCCUGCGAAUGAAGCUCCCAGAGAGGAAAAUGUUCUCGAGAGAGGGAGAGAAGCAGUUUCCUCAUUUAGGUCACCAGAUCCGGCUGUGCCUAAAGCAAGGUCUGGAUAUUUCAAUUACAACAGCCAAAUAAAUUUCCCUUUUUCGCU
Long non-coding RNA from Pan troglodytes (chimpanzee), 654 nucleotides. RefSeq lists it as uncharacterized. NCBI's taxonomy places the organism in Eukaryota, Metazoa, Chordata, Mammalia, Primates, Hominidae. The record is from RefSeq and is a predicted model, not a curated record. The transcript is spliced from 4 exons.